GACGAACGCUGGCGGCGUGCUUAACACAUGCAAGUCGAACGGUAAGGCCCUUCGGGGUACACGAGUGGCGAACGGGUGAGUAACACGUGGGUGAUCUGCCCUGCACUUCGGGAUAAGCCUGGGAAACUGGGUCUAAUACCGGAUAGGACCCUGGGAUGCAUGUCCUGGGGUGGAAAGCUUUUGCGGUGUGGGAUGGGCCCGCGGCCUAUCAGCUUGUUGGUGGGGUGAUGGCCUACCAAGGCGACGAAGGGUAGUCGGCCUGAGAGGGUGACCGGCCACACUGGGACUGAGAUACGGCCCAGACUCCUACGGGAGGCAGCAGUAGGGAAUAUUGCACAAUGGGCGCAAGCCUGAUGCAGCGACGCCGCGUGAGGGAUGACGGCCUUCGGGUUGUAAACCUCUUUCAGCACCGACGAAGCGCAAGUGACGGUAGGUGCAGAAGAAGGACCGGCCAACUACGUGCCAGCCGCCGCCGUAA
RNAcentral lists this ribosomal RNA (478 nucleotides) under uncultured bacterium. RNAcentral's name for it is "partial 16S ribosomal RNA". It matches the Rfam family "Bacterial small subunit ribosomal RNA", at positions 28 to 523 of the family's 1533-position model. The record is from RNAcentral.